RNAcentral lists this ribosomal RNA (301 nucleotides) under uncultured bacterium. RNAcentral's name for it is "partial 16S ribosomal RNA". It matches the Rfam family "Bacterial small subunit ribosomal RNA", at positions 509 to 807 of the family's 1533-position model. The record is from RNAcentral.
CAGUAGCCACGGUAAUACGUAGGUGGCAAGCGUUGUCCGGAAUUAUUGGGCGUAAAGGGCUCGCAGGCGGUUUCUUAAGUCUGAUGUGAAAGCCCCCGGCUCAACCGGGGAGGGUCAUUGGAAACUGGGAAACUUGAGUGCAGAAGAGGAGAGUGGAAUUCCACGUGUAGCGGUGAAAUGCGUAGAGAUGUGGAGGAACACCAGUGGCGAAGGCGACUCCCUUGUCUGUAACUGACGCUGAGGAGCGAAAGCGUGGGGAGCGAACAGGAUUAGAUACCCCCGUAGUCCCUGUCUCUUAUAC